GGAGAAUGACGUCCAUGUUUUGCUCCAGCUCAUCCCAGCGUGGCGUGGGACAGGGAAGAGAAAUGGCUGCAGUGGAGUCAGUCCAGGGGCCGGUGACCUUCAAGGAGGUGGCUGUGUAUUUCACCAGGGAAGAGGGGACUCUGCUGGACCCCACUCAGAGAGCCCUCUACUAGGAUGUCAUGCAGCAGAACUACAAGAGUGUGACCUCGCUGGGUAAGGAUUCCUGUCCCAUCUCUUCUUGGAAGGGGAAAUGAAGAGUGAAGGUUCAUACCACCUCCAGUCUGUCCUGUUGCAGCAUCACCCCAAUAUGCCAGUGACACACACACUACCAGAGACCCUCCUCUGCUGCAGAACACUUUGGGAACAGAGCACAGGAGCAGUAUCACACAAUGUCAAAUAUCUCCUCUUUACUCAAGUAAAACUGAGGGUUAGGUCCAGCAUAAAGAAUAGAAGCUUCCUACCCCUGGUCUUCUCUCAAACCCUGAGCCUUCUCUACCCAAACCAGAAUGUGCUUGGGGUGUAACAAGCAGGCGGCUGGAGUCAGAGCUGCUGGUCCAGGGUUACUUAUCAUACAGACACUCGAUGCGUCCUUGAAUGCUGGCUGGGAGUAUCCAGACAGGGGAGCUCCAACAGCAGAACACUGAAUCUCAUCCAGGAUUACAGAUGACACAACUCCUUGCUGAUCUGGAUUGCACCCCAGCAUGUGAAAAUGGCCUAGAUUGGUAGUGACAUUUCUUGAGACAUAGAGAGUCUUGCUCCCAUAUCACCAGGUGUAAUAGCAAUAACAGGAAAGGCCAAAUAUGGAAAACUGAUUGUUCAGCUUGCUUUUGACCUGCAUAUUUUGCAAUAUAUUCCAAAUAAGGUAAUUAAUGUGCAACUUAUGUGUCAUUGUUUGUGGUUUUAAGUUUUAAAAGGCUUAUGUGAUUUUUAGCUCAGGGGGACAGUAUUCCAGUAGCUGUUGCCCCCUGUGCACUUUUAACCAAGAAAAAAGCCUCAGGCUGAGCUGAUUCAAAAUCAAUCCUGUGGUCGUUUUCCACAACAGCUUCAAGAGGUCCCUGUGAUGGAAUGUAAAUGUCUUCUUCACACCUUCCCCCUGCAGGAGAAUGGCUUUUUGACCAGCUAUUUGCCUUGCUGUCUCUGAGGAACUGGUCUCUGGGUGUUCCCCAGAACUGUAACUUUUUCAGUAAUAUCAUACUGUAAAAUCUUAUAAUUUUACAUACAGUGUUACUACACAUUUAACAGGAGGAUAAUAUGCAGUAGACUAGACGUUUUCAAAUGAUACCUCACAAGCCAUACUGUGUACAAAAUUGAUCAUAAUUUUUUAGAAGAGUGAACACAGGGGUAUAGACUGACACAGUGUCUGUGUGUGUUUCCAGCAGAUAUGUGGGUAUUUCAAUCCCUCAUAAGCACAAUGUUUGGCAUCUUCAAGGACCUGGGGAACUGGUCCUGGGAAUUCACUAGUUUACCAAGUGUGAGACUGCAUGAAAUUGUGAGACACUUUGGUAUUAAUAAUAUAAUAUGAUAAAAUUGCCAUGUAAGGUGUCAGUGAAAAUGUUAUGAUUGGCCAAGUAUGAUGAUUUUGUUUCUAUGUUUGUAUCACCUUUGUAUUGUGAAUUACAGAUAUGUAGGGUAUAUCUGGAAUUCCAGACUUGUGCAGUGUUUCUGGGUGACACCCCCAGACAUAUUGGCAUCAAUACUGCCUAGCCUGUUUGAUGGCCCAUUGAGGGUCAUCAGCUGUGCAAUGAGCCCUUGGCCAAGGGGAUACACCUAUUGAGUCAGCAAGACCUGCCAGGGUAUGCCUAUGUACUGAGACCUCCAAAGCUUUUCCAUGCCAUUUGCUGUGAAGCUUGUGUUUGGGACACAGGAAGUACAAGCCACAUGGCAAAAGGAAUAUAAAAUGCAGCUGCAUCAUCUCCAUUUUGUCUUCAAUCCCCCUUCCUAUCUCUGGAGCAACUUCUCUACAAACUGACUGCUUGCCCGUUUAACUUCUUUCAUUAAAAUGCUAAAGGAUUGUCUGGAAGGAUGGAAUUUUGGGUAAUAUCCAAACCUAUAGUGACAUGGUACUGUGGCUGACCCUUUGGGGUCAGAAGAACUCUUUAUUUAUGUGAGCAGAGUUUUUAAACAACCUCUCACUGUACUAGACCUAGUUGCUGAUUAGGAGCCAGAGAACUGGGGUGCAAUAAAGGGGGCUGUGUGGUUUCUUUUUUCAGCUUCUCGAUAACCCAUGUGUGGGAUUAGAAGCACAGUUUGUGAGUAGUCGGUGAGUUUAACUUCAGUGUUAACUACCAGUUUCAGGAGCAUCUGCUCUCCCUUUUUCAGCCUGCCCUAACUUUGGCAUUUUCAGUGAGAAAUUGCCCCUGGCCCACCAGGUCACAGUAAGCACUGAAGUUAAAGUAAUAGAAUGUUGUUUUUUUAUGACCAAGUCUUAUGAAAUCAACUGAACUCCUUUGUUUUCUUUCAUCUGAGACGGGUUUCUCGUUUUCCAGCGUGAUGUGAUCUCCCAGCUGGAACAAGGGGAAGAGCCAUGGGUCCCAGAGCUCCAGGGUUCAGAGGAAAGAGAGAUCCUGAGAGCUCCCUGCACAGCAGGGGAUGCAAUGGCAUGUGAGAAAGAGGAGCAGAAUUCUCAGCCUGAAAAUGUUGAGCAAGUGGGUAAAAACAGAGCAUAAUCGCAAAUAUCGAAAAGGAAUAUGUCCAGGAGUCAUGAGCAUGGAAAAUCCUAGGAGAUUCAGCACAGACCAGAAACAGAGCAAGGAAACCAGCCAGGGGAGAAAGUGGAUGAAUUUAUUUCCUCUUGGGGAACUCAGAAGGUCCUCAUUGAAACCACAACACAGCAGGAUAUCCUCAGGCGAAAGAGAAAAAAAUACAUGCAGUGGGUGUGGAAAAACCUUCUCUUGCAGCUCAACCCUUUCUGUACAUCAGAGAAUCCACACAGGGGAGAG
Long non-coding RNA from Gopherus evgoodei (Goodes thornscrub tortoise), 2939 nucleotides. RefSeq lists it as uncharacterized. The record is from RefSeq and is a predicted model, not a curated record. The transcript is spliced from 3 exons. Lineage: Eukaryota; Metazoa; Chordata; Testudines; Testudinidae.